This 468-nucleotide ribosomal RNA is filed under the name uncultured bacterium. RNAcentral's name for it is "partial 16S ribosomal RNA". It matches the Rfam family "Bacterial small subunit ribosomal RNA", at positions 28 to 507 of the family's 1533-position model. The record is from RNAcentral.
GACGAACGCUGGCGGCGUGCUUAACACAUGCAAGUCGAACGGAAAGGCCCUGCUUUUGUGGGGUGCUCGAGUGGCGAACGGGUGAGUAACACGUGAGUAACCUGCCCUUGACUUUGGGAUAACUUCAGGAAACUGGGGCUAAUACCGGAUAGGAGCUCCUGCUGCAUGGUGGGGGUUGGAAAGUUUCGGCGGUUGGGGAUGGACUCGCGGCUUAUCAGCUUGUUGGUGGGGUAGUGGCUUACCAAGGCUUUGACGGGUAGCCGGCCUGAGAGGGUGACCGGCCACAUUGGGACUGAGAUACGGCCCAGACUCCAACGGGAGGCAGCAGUGGAGAAUAUUGCACAAUGGGCGGAAGCCUGAUGCAGAAACGCCGAGUGCGGGAUGACGGCCUUCGGGUUGUAAACCGCUUUCGCCUGUGACGAAGCGUGAGUGACGGUAAUGGGUAAAGAAGCACCGGCUAACUACGUG